GAUGAACGCUGGCGGCGUGCCUAAUACAUGCCAGUCGAGCGAACAGACGAGGAGCUUGCUCCUCUGACGUUAGCGGCGGACGGGUGAGUAACACGUGGAUAACCUACCUAUAAGACUGGGAUAACUUCGGGAAACCGGAGCUAAUACCGGAUAAUAUAUUGAACCGCAUGGUUCAAUAGUGAAAGACGGUUUUGCUGUCACUUAUAGAUGGAUCCGCGCCGCAUUAGCUAGUUGGUAAGGUAACGGCUUACCAAGGCAACGAUGCGUAGCCGACCUGAGAGGUGGAUCGGCCACACUGGAACUGAGACACGGUCCAGACUCCUACGGGAGGCAGCAGUAGGGAAUCUUCCGCAAUGGGCGAAAGCCUGACGGAGCAACGCCGCGUGAGUGAUGAAGGUCUUCGGAUCGUAAAACUCUGUUAUUAGGGAAGAACAAAUGUGUAAGUAACUAUGCACGUCUUGACGGUACCUAAUCAGAAAGCCACGGCUAACUACGUG
Molecule: ribosomal RNA, 497 nt
Filed under: uncultured bacterium
Lineage: Bacteria
Description: partial 16S ribosomal RNA
Rfam family: Bacterial small subunit ribosomal RNA
Source: RNAcentral